AUUGAACGCUGGCGGAAUGCUUUACACAUGCAAGUCGAACGGCAGCACGGGUGCUUGCACCUGGUGGCGAGUGGCGAACGGGUGAGUAAUGCAUCGGAACGUGCCUUUUAGUGGGGGAUAACUAUCCGAAAGGAUAGCUAAUACCGCAUACGCCCUGAGGGGGAAAGGGGGGAGUCGCAAGACCUCUCGCUACAGGAGCGGCCGAUGUCCGAUUAGCUAGUUGGUGAGGUAAAGGCUCACCAAGGCGACGAUCGGUAGCUGGUCUGAGAGGAUGAUCAGCCACACUGGGACUGAGACACGGCCCAGACUCCUACGGGAGGCAGCAGUGGGGAAUUUUGGACAAUGGGGGGCAACCCUGAAGCAGCGAUGCCGCGUGGAGGACGAAGGUCUUCGGAUUGUAAACUCCUUUUGCUGGUGAAAAAUAGCGGCGUGAAUAACGCCGACUGAUGGUAACCGGCGAAUAAGCCACGGCUAACUUCGUGCCAGCAGCCGCGGUAAU
This 499-nucleotide ribosomal RNA is filed under the name uncultured bacterium. Its description in RNAcentral is "bacterial SSU rRNA". It matches the Rfam family "Bacterial small subunit ribosomal RNA", at positions 30 to 524 of the family's 1533-position model. The record is from RNAcentral.